RNAcentral lists this ribosomal RNA (297 nucleotides) under uncultured eukaryote. RNAcentral describes it as "partial 18S ribosomal RNA". It matches the Rfam family "Eukaryotic small subunit ribosomal RNA", at positions 1470 to 1796 of the family's 1831-position model. The record is from RNAcentral.
CCCUUAGACGCUCUAGGCGGCACGCGCGCUACAAUGGGUGGUAGAACGUGUAACUGCUCCCGAAAGGGAGGGUGAACCACGAAUACUUACCCGUGAAUGGGAUAGUUUGUUACAAUUUUCGGACUUGAACUAGGAAUCCCUUGUAAGAAUGCUCAAGAAUAGCGUGCUGAAUACGUCCCUGCCGUUUGUACGCACCGCCCGUCGUUUCUUCCGACUGAUACUCAUUGUGAGUUGCAAGGAUUCUUAUUGAAAAAUUGCUGCGAAUGCUUUGUAUUGGAGGAAGAAAAAGUCGUAACA